GUCCACGCCUUAAACGAUGUAUGCUAGACCGGUGCGGUUUUGACGCCGUAUCGGUCGUAGGAAACCGAUAAGCAUACCGCCUGGGGAGUACGGUCGCAAGGCUAAAACUCAAAUGAAUUGACGGGGGCUCACACAAGCGGUGGAGCAUGUUGCUUAAUUCGAGGCAACGCGAAGAACCUUACCUGGGCUUGACAUGCUGGUAUUAACCCUAUGAAAGUAGGGCCACAGUCGCAAGACCGGAACCAGCACAGGUGCUGCAUGGCUAUCGU
RNAcentral lists this ribosomal RNA (269 nucleotides) under uncultured bacterium. RNAcentral describes it as "partial 16S ribosomal RNA". It matches the Rfam family "Bacterial small subunit ribosomal RNA", at positions 793 to 1055 of the family's 1533-position model. The record is from RNAcentral.